GGGGGGGGGGGGGGGGGGGGGGGGGGGGGGGGGGGCGGGCGGGGGGGGGGGGGGUGGGUGGGGGGGUGGGGUGGCGGGGGGGUGCGUGGCCGGUGAGUAACCUGCCCGGGCCUGGGGGAUGACGUCAGGGAACGGGGGCUCCUGCCGGGUAGGCCCUCCUGCCGCAUGGUGGGGGUUGGAGAGCUUCGGCGGUGGUGGCUGGACCCGAGGCCGACCAGCUUGUUGGUGGGGUGGUUGCUUACCAAGGCUUGGACGGGUAGCCGGCCUGCGAGGGUGACCGGCGACAUGGGGCCUGAGAUACGGCCCAGACUCCGACGAGAGGCAGCGGUGCGGAAUAUUGCACAAUGGGCGGAAGCCUGAUGCGGCAACGCCGCGUGCGGGAUGACGGCCUUCGGGUUGUAAGCCGCUUUCGCCUGUGACGAAGCGUGAGUGACGGUAAUGGGUAAAGAAGCACCGGCUAACUACGUG
This 468-nucleotide ribosomal RNA is filed under the name uncultured bacterium. RNAcentral's name for it is "partial 16S ribosomal RNA". The stretch from base 59 to 468 matches the Rfam family "Bacterial small subunit ribosomal RNA", at positions 37 to 507 of the family's 1533-position model. The record is from RNAcentral.